CGAAGGAUCCAAGCGUUGUCCGGAUUUACUGGGUUUAAAGGGUGCGUAGGCGGACUAUUAAGUCAGUGGUGAAAGCUUGCAGCUUAACUGUAAAAUUGCCAUUGAAACUGAUAGUCUCGAAUAUGGUUGAGGUGGUUGGAAUGUAUCAUGUAGCGGUGAAAUGCUUAGAUAUGAUACAGAACACCGAUUGCGAAGGCAGAUCACUAAACCAUUAUUGACGCUGAGGCACGAAAGCGUGGGGAUCAAACAGGAUUAGAUACCCUGGUAGUCCACGCCCUAAACGUUGCAUACUCGGUUUUAGCGAUAUACCGUUAGGACCCAAGCGAAAGCGUUAAGUAUGCCACCUGGGAAGUACGUCCGCAAGGAUG
This 368-nucleotide ribosomal RNA is filed under the name uncultured organism. RNAcentral's name for it is "bacterial SSU rRNA". It matches the Rfam family "Bacterial small subunit ribosomal RNA", at positions 526 to 896 of the family's 1533-position model. The record is from RNAcentral.